CCAGCUCUUCUUUGUAUGUCUGUUAGAAUUUGGCUGUGAAUUCACCGGAUCUGGGCCUUUUAUGACAUCUUCUGUAACCAGAAGCACUCCAAGAACAACACUUUCAUUCAUGGACUUAACAACUACAUUAGAUCAUACCAGCCUGUCACUUCAAAGUCACCAGUGUCAAGGAACAUUUCAAAUUGGCUUAAAGCAUUGUUUUGGAGGUGUGAAUAAUGAAGCCAAGGACAUUAGCAACAUCAUGAAAGCAGGCAUCAAGUGAAUAGAGAAGAUUCUAUGGAUGUAGAAGAGGUCCCUGGGUUUCCGAAUUGCCACUGGAUUGCCUCUAUCAAAUACACAAGAGUUUCAUGAGUGAGAAAUAACCUUCUGUUGCUUUAAAUCUUGGGUUGUGCAAUACAUCAGUGAGCCUACCAUGACUAAUACAUUCUAUGGAUGCAGAUUUCUCUUCUCUGGCCAUUGACAUGAGUGUGCUUUCUGGAUGCAGUCACAGGGGACCCAAGAUUCUUGGACAGAAUUCUCGCCGGGAGCCAACUCAGCCUGAUCUGCUGGCAUCUCUCAAGUAUCAGAAGUCAACAAAAUGGUUUGCCUUGAAGACUUGGCCAGAGCAGCAGCCAAACCUUGAAGGGCAAUAUCCUUACCAACAUGUGAUCUGAAGGAGCUCUGAACCCUCCAGUGAGACAUCAGCCCAUCAGACUCACAGAGAACAGCAGGAAGGCCAAAGACUCAAGAUUUAUCUAUCCUUGAAGUGAGCAAAAUUCCUUGUUAUUCAGUGAUGCUGAUUACAACAGGCCUCCGUUAUACGAAGGGAAAACAUCCCAGACCCCCCAGUGAAUGCCUGAAACUGGAUUCUACUGAACCCUGAGAUGGUACUAAGUGACUAACGGGUGAAUAGCGUGUACAGCAUGGAUACACUAGACAAAGGGAGGAUUCGCAUCCCGGGCUGGUCAGCAAGAGGUUUCAUCACCCCACUCAAAAUGGCAGGACCGUAUGAACCUGAAUCCAGAGAAACGGCUCAUCAGUCUCCAAUCCUCUGAUUUUCUAAACCAGGACUACAUUAUAUUAAAACCAGAAAAAGCAAUACCUCUUUUCACAGAAUGGACUUUCUGGUGGAAAUGGGAGGAACCAAAAGAAGGCUGACUUCUUCAUUUUGACACCCUGCCCUGACUGCAGAACGUGAUUUCCCUAAAAGACUGAAUGUUAACCUCAAAGCCUGGUCAACCAACAUGCAGGAGAAAUCUUGACCAAGGCUCUGAGCAUGCUGUGGUCCCAGUGGUGAGGGUGUGAUAUGCACUGUCUGUUCCUGGAGUCACAGUGCUCAUCUUGUGGUAAAGACCUCUUGGAAGAAUGUCUUCAAAGGCACAUCUCCAGCUGGGAGUCC
RNAcentral lists this long non-coding RNA (1378 nucleotides) under Homo sapiens (human). Its description in RNAcentral is "non-protein coding lnc-FSIP1-4:15". The record is from RNAcentral. Lineage: Eukaryota; Metazoa; Chordata; Mammalia; Primates; Hominidae.